RNAcentral lists this long non-coding RNA (283 nucleotides) under Felis catus (domestic cat). RNAcentral's name for it is "lncRNA (ENSFCAG00000050155.1)". Lineage: Eukaryota; Metazoa; Chordata; Mammalia; Carnivora; Felidae. The record is from RNAcentral.
AUGACUGGAUUAGCAUGUGCACCAUACCAAGAUUAUCAUGAAAGAUGGGACCACGAGAAUUCCUGGGACCAGAUGGAAAGAACUGUGUCAGCUGAGUUAACUGAGAACACAAGGAAUCUGUAUUGCAGGUGGCCAUUUUUACAAAGUGGGAGAGACACCACGUUAAUCAAGCAAAGAAGAGACAAGCAAAGCUAAGAGAUGGACAGAAAAGAAGAUCCUGAUGUGAAGCAGAAGAAAGCACCCUUAGAAUAAAAACGUGGUCCACAGUGCCUGUAUUCGAAUU